CCCCUCUCGGGAUCGCACCUGGAGAGUUUCCAGUGCUCUACCAGUCUCAACUAUGGGAGGGAGAGUCAAGUAGAGGCCGACCCAUUCCAUUCCUAGGUUGGCCAGUGGCUAGCGAGUGGAAGGCCAUCUGCUACAAGU
Molecule: small nucleolar RNA, 138 nt
Organism: Ornithorhynchus anatinus (platypus)
Lineage: Eukaryota; Metazoa; Chordata; Mammalia; Monotremata; Ornithorhynchidae
Source: RefSeq, a predicted model, not a curated record